AAAAAAUUCUGCAAAUUGUGGCUUCUCCUGAAAUACAUCUCAACUGAAGUAGACAUUGACAUGGCUGAAUGAGUCACCCUUGGCUUCCACUUUUAGCACAUUUAAUUAAGCAAAUGUUGCAGGAUUCUCCAUGUCAGUCACUUUACAGUAGGACAUUCCCCAUCUCCAUGCCAACUAGGGGCUAAGCACAUCUUUGCUCUGAGCCUGGGCUACCCCUUAGGAAGAACUCCCCAGGAUGAUAACUUCCAAUGCUGAAAAAUGCUACCUAUACCAAAGUGUGAAAGUGCUGUUCAACUCAAACCACGUGCAGCAGAGAUUUUACAUGAAAUUUAGGGAUAACCUGGAGAAAACAUCUCUUCCCUUUCAAAGUACUUAACAAGUGAGCAAUAGGAAGAAGAAAAAAAUGGACAUAAUGCUGUUCUCCAAAGGGGGCAUCUGGCUGUGUGGCUUGGAAGGUCCUAGAAUGAAAAUGCACAGGAUGCUUGGAUUCAAGCAGGAGGGCAACAAUAUCACUCCCUAUUAUCUGAGGAAGACUGUAGUGACGUUGGGGAUGGAGGCCUGCUUAGUUCACACAACUACUGGGUUUGAUAGAACAUGGAACUGAAGUUUCAUUAAGAAUAUGCCAGUCUCUGAAACCCUUUUGGAGAAGGAGGUGAAUCCUGAGGAAUAGAGUGAGAGCUUCUGCCCAGGGCAUGAACAAGGCUCCUUCUCAAAGCAGUGCUGAAGGCUUUCUGCCUUCUUAUCUGUUUUAUAUACACACCAUGUUUCUGAAGAAUCAUCU
Molecule: long non-coding RNA, 781 nt
Organism: Mauremys reevesii (Reeves's turtle)
Lineage: Eukaryota; Metazoa; Chordata; Testudines; Geoemydidae
Exons: 4
Source: RefSeq, a predicted model, not a curated record